UACGUAGGGGGCUAGCGUUAAUCGGAAUUACUGGGCGUAAAGCGUGCGCAGGCGGUUUUGUAAGCCAGAUGUGAAAGCCCCGGGCUCAACCUGGGAAUGGCGGUGGAAACUGGCAAGCUAGAGUGUGGCAGAGGGGGGUGGAAUUCCACGUGUAGCAGUGAAAUGCGUAGAGAUGUGGAGGAACACCAAUGGCGAAGGCAGCCCCCUGGGUCAACACUGACGCUCAGGCACGAAAGCGUGGGGAGCAAACAGG
Molecule: ribosomal RNA, 253 nt
Filed under: uncultured bacterium
Lineage: Bacteria
Description: partial 16S ribosomal RNA
Rfam family: Bacterial small subunit ribosomal RNA
Source: RNAcentral